This 506-nucleotide ribosomal RNA is filed under the name uncultured bacterium. RNAcentral describes it as "partial 16S ribosomal RNA". It matches the Rfam family "Bacterial small subunit ribosomal RNA", at positions 29 to 523 of the family's 1533-position model. The record is from RNAcentral.
AGUGAACGCUGGCGGUAGGCCUAACACAUGCAAGUCGAACGGCAGCACAGGAGAGCUUGCUCUCUGGGUGGCGAGUGGCGGACGGGUGAGGAAUACAUCGGAAUCUACUUUUUCGUGGGGGAUAACGUAGGGAAACUUACGCUAAUACCGCAUACGACCUACGGGUGAAAGCAGGGGAUCUUCGGACCUUGCGCGAUUGAAUGAGCCGAUGUCGGAUUAGCUAGUUGGCGGGGUAAAGGCCCACCAAGGCGACGAUCCGUAGCUGGCCUGAGAGGAUGAUCAGCCACACUGGAACUGAGACACGGUCCAGACUCCUACGGGAGGCAGCAGUGGGGAAUAUUGGACAAUGGGCGCAAGCCUGAUCCAGCCAUACCGCGUGGGUGAAGAAGGCCUUCGGGUUGUAAAGCCCUUUUGUUGGGGAAGAAAUCCAGCUGGCUAAUACCCGGUUGGGAUGACGGUACCCAAAGAAUAAGCACCGGCUAACUUCGUGCCAGCCGCCGCGGUAA